Molecule: ribosomal RNA, 327 nt
Filed under: Dabulamanzia gladius
Lineage: Eukaryota; Metazoa; Arthropoda; Insecta; Ephemeroptera; Baetidae
Description: partial 12S ribosomal RNA
Source: RNAcentral
AUUAAAAAGCCGUUAAUAACCUCCUGAGUAGUACCUAUAAACUUUAAACUCAAAGAAUUUGGCGGCACCCCUACCCGUUAGAGGAGCCUGCCCCGUAAUCGACGCUCCACGAUUCCAUACACCCCUGUUUAAAGCUUGUAUACCGCCGUUUAGAUUAUAUUUUAAAAUAUAUUCAUAAUGAUCUUAAUAAAUACUUCAGGUCAAGGUGCAGCUAAUGGAGGGGAGGAGGUGGGCUACAUUAACUAUAGUUAUAAGGAUUAAUAAUUUAAAAUUAUUAUAAAAGUGGAUUUAAUUGUAAACAUGACGUUAUUCGGCUUGGCCGGGUUC